GGACCAAGGAGUCUAGCAUGUGCGCGAGUCAUUGGGACUCUAACUAAACCUAAAGGCGCAAUGAAAGUGAAGGUCCGCCUUGCGCGGACCGAGGGAGGAUGGACGGUCUCAAGGGACCGCCCCGCACUCCCGGGGCGUCUCGUUCUCNCGUUNGAGAAGAGGCGCACCCAGAGCGUACACGCUGGGACCCGAAAGAUGGUGAACUAUGCCUGGUCAGGACGAAGUCAGGGGAAACCCUGAUGGAGGUCCGUAGCGAUUCUGACGUGCAAAUCGAUCGUCGGAACUGGGUAUAGGGGCGAAAGACUAAUCGAACCAUCUAGUAGCUGGUUCCCUCCGAAGUUUCCCUCAGGAUAGCUGGCGCUCGCUUCUCGCGAGUCUCAUUCGGUAAAGCGAAUGAUUAGAGGCAUUGGGGUCGAAACGGCCUCAACCUAUUCUCAAACUUUAAAUGGGUGAGAUCUCCGGCUUGCUUGAACUGUGAAGCCGCGAGAUAUCGGAUCAGAGUGCCAAGUGGGCCACUUUUGGUAAGCAGAACUGGCGCUGUGGGAUGAACCAAACGCUGAGUUAAAGCGCCUAAAUCGACGCUUAUGGGAUACCAUGAAAGGCGUUGGUAACUUAAGACAGCAG
This 624-nucleotide ribosomal RNA is filed under the name Camenta sp. DA0864. RNAcentral describes it as "eukaryotic LSU rRNA". It matches the Rfam family "Eukaryotic large subunit ribosomal RNA", at positions 663 to 1243 of the family's 3401-position model. The record is from RNAcentral. Lineage: Eukaryota; Metazoa; Arthropoda; Insecta; Coleoptera; Scarabaeidae.